AAAAUCCAUACUUUCAAGGUCUUAUUCUCUGCAGUCUGCACAUUUCCUCUGUGUAUUCAGAUAAGUCGAGCAGUGAUCAAUCUAAGUAUCUUGGCGCAAUUAAUAGCGACAGCGCCUUCUUCCAUUUCUUGUGUUGGCACUUUUUCCAGCGACCGAGUUUGUCUUUUCAUCGAGAUUUCUUUGGUUUGUGCCCUUUUGGCUGAUCAAUUUUGCCUCUUUUUCAUCUUCUUACCAAUAUGUCUUGUUCAGCGACUGAGGAGUCAAAGGCUUGAUUGAAGGAUUAGUUGCAUUUUUGUUCGUGGGAAAGAUGGCGCCUUUCUUUCUGCUGAUUGGAAAGUU
This 339-nucleotide long non-coding RNA is filed under the name Coffea arabica (coffee). Its description in RNAcentral is "long non-coding RNA (CARA_LNC007651)". Lineage: Eukaryota; Viridiplantae; Streptophyta; Magnoliopsida; Gentianales; Rubiaceae. The record is from RNAcentral.